AGGUAAAAGGUAUCAAUAUAAUAUCUUACAAAAUAAAGAUGAAUGAAGAAUUGGGACGACUGCAAACUGCGAUGAAUUUUCUGCAAGAUGGAAAUGUCAUAAGGAAGAAGAAAACUGGCAAGCUUGUUUGUGCAAAGAAGAGGUUUGCUUAAAAACAAUGACAAAGGAAGCCCCCUACAGCUGGCGAAACCCUGUUAAAGUCAUUCUGAAGAUUAUUACUGUGGUCAUAGAAACCCAAAGGAAAACAAGAUGUGUGGCUAUUAGAAUGGAGUGAUCAGGAUUCAGAGUCUUCAAAUAAUACAGCCAGAAGCAUUGUUUACUCAGGACAGCACUUCUGACCACGUAUCUCCAAAGUACUCCGAAGCUUGUUAUUUACUCCAACCAUGUUGAAAAGACCACAACACAACAUGCUUCCAAAUGAUGAGUCAUUAUUUCUCCUUCUACAUUUUCAUGGAAGUCAAGAAGUUGGGGACGUUGCAGUGCUCCAGUCUCGGGAUGGUGUCACAAUAUCCCAAGGGUGAUGGUAAGGGAGAACCCUGAUCCAGAUAGUGACCUGCCAACUCUGAAAAUGAGGGAAAGAAGAGAAACCAUCAAGGUAAUUACAUGAAGCAUAACGUGCUUGUAGCUGAACAUGGCUUAUAAAGCAAGGAAAAUAAUAUUAAAUGAGCAAGCAACGAGCAAUGAGCAAUAUGCCAUUGGGAACAGUUCCUGAAGAGUAUGACUGUGUACAAGUGAGUACAGUUUUAAGGCUUCUUGGAAGGAAGUUAUACCUGCUGAUUGAUCUCUUGCAUUCAAUAAGCCUAUGUGCCCCAGUCUUCUUUCCAAGGCUUCUUGAAUUUCUUUCGUGUUACCAUUUAGUCAGCUAAAUACUUUAUUUCCCUUCUUCUCUCUUAUCUCUUUCCCCUUUCUCCACCUAUUUCCCACUCACUCUGUUAAAUCAUCUGGUUAAAAUGAAUCUUUAUAAAACCCAUUGAGAUGCUGUUAUGUUCAUAUCAGAUUUAUUUUUCAUGAAAUAGGCUUUUCUGUUCCCUGGUGCUACUCAAUCUAUAUAAACGGGCUAUUUUAGUCAAUGAAAAUUUUUAUGGCUCCAGCAAAUCAGACUAAAGAAGAAUGCAACAUAUUAGUGAGGAGAGCCAUUCAACAUUAUGCGAUGCUUCCCUUAGGCUCCCAAACAUGAAGCAGUUCAGGAGAGCUAUCAUAUUUGAUUGAUAUAGUCAUAUUUGAAAUGAAACCCAGAGAUGAACAAAAUGAUUGGGCAUCGGAUUAAAGGCUUUUCUUAUGUAGGCUGAACAUGAUUUCUGUCAAAAAACUGAAUUUGCCUUUCACUAGAAGGCUUUUUUAAAUCUUUGGCCAGCAGAGCUGACUUCACAAUUGAUAAAUGUCAUACCUGUGUGCAUAUGCAGCUUCCUACAAUAGAGUCGAUUUGAGAGAGAUCUUUAGAAGUCUUGUUUUGUGUCUGUGAAGACAAUGGAAAGUUCUACAGCACAUCUUUGGAUGGCAAUAACAAUGAAAUACAGCUCCUUCACAGUGCAAAUCUGGAAUACUUGACAUGAGAUUUUAGCCAAAAGAAGUGCAAUAUGCAAACUGACUUGAGGAAACUGUAUGAUGUUUGUGAAUGGUCCAGCAUAUCAUAAAACCCAAUAGCAGCUUAGUUUCAAGUGUUUGAAAAUGAAAGAGCUGAAUAAAUGUAUGGACAUCAUCUCCUAGGACUGUGUAACCAAGCAUUUGCAUUUAUUUCAUUUUAUCAAUAUAUAUGUACAUAUAUAUAUAAUAUGGCUAUUUAUUGACUAGUUUUGAAUAAAAGUGUUCCUUUUUCUUUCUAAAGUUCUAUUUUGAUUUACUUUCCAAUGUUUUGAGCAUGCUUCCCCUUUUCAGCACAGCCUGCUUUCUCCCUUUGUCUUUGGGUUUCUGUGGAUUCUUCAAGGAUGCCAGGAGAAGCAGCCAGAAGCUAAUCAGCCCUAAUGCUCUGAAUUCUGCUUUACUCCAUAGCUCAGCUAGCCAAAUCCUAAAAUAGACUACCUGGCAUUUCCCUUCUAAGGAAUCAAGAGCCCUCAUAAGGGUUGUGAAGAUAGAGGGUUUGUGAUCUUCAAUUAUAUUGGUGUAUCACACAGGGAAAAAUAACAUGGGUGUGUAAUAUAUGUUGGAAGGAGAAAAAUUCUACUUAUUUUACCUACUAGUUUGGUAAUGUCAGAGUAUAUUUUCUUCGUUGAUUCCUGGGCCAUCAAAUUUCAACAUUAUUUUGAAAUAUUAUUAUUUUGAUUUUGAGAAGUACGUGUUUAAAACUGCUUUGACGUUAAGAUUGUAUUACAGCUUUGUCUUCAGAGAAGAUAAAUUAAGCAGAAUAGCUUCUCAAAUUAAAGAAUUGUGGCAGUUAGAUAAGCACAUGUAGUGGUAUAAACGCAUGCAGUAACCACAUGAAGUUUCUCUGUGAGAUUAAAUUGUGAAGAUGAGAUGCACAUUGUCAGAUGAUAUCUGUUGGCAAUUG
Anas platyrhynchos (mallard) is the source of this 2485-nucleotide long non-coding RNA. RefSeq lists it as uncharacterized. Lineage: Eukaryota; Metazoa; Chordata; Aves; Anseriformes; Anatidae. The record is from RefSeq and is a predicted model, not a curated record.